Molecule: ribosomal RNA, 253 nt
Filed under: uncultured bacterium
Lineage: Bacteria
Description: partial 16S ribosomal RNA
Rfam family: Bacterial small subunit ribosomal RNA
Source: RNAcentral
UACGUAGGUGGCAAGCGUUGUCCGGAUUUACUGGGCGUAAAGAGCGCGCAGGCGGUCGUCCAAGUCGCGUGUGAAAGCCCCCGGCUCAACUGGGGAGGGUCACGCGAUACUGGUCGACUCGAGGGCAGGAGAGGGUAGUGGAAUUCCCGGUGUAGUGGUGAAAUGCGUAGAUAUCAGGAGGAACACCGGUGGUGUAGACGGCUUUCUGGACCGUAACUGACGCUGAGACACGAAAGCUAGGGGAGCAAACGGG